This is a small nucleolar RNA of Misgurnus anguillicaudatus (oriental weatherfish), 71 nucleotides long. RefSeq annotates it as small nucleolar RNA SNORD75. The record is from RefSeq and is a predicted model, not a curated record. Lineage: Eukaryota; Metazoa; Chordata; Actinopteri; Cypriniformes; Cobitidae.
AGCCUAUGAUGAAGAAAAACGUAUAAGAGUAGUGGACAGAAGUGAUUUCUGAGAAUCUGUAUUCUGAGGCA